UUACCAAGCUGCAGAGGUAGAGAUCGG
Molecule: non-coding RNA, 27 nt
Filed under: Mus musculus (house mouse)
Lineage: Eukaryota; Metazoa; Chordata; Mammalia; Rodentia; Muridae
Source: RNAcentral